GUCAAGUCGAACGGUAACGCGGGGCAACCUGGCGACGAGUGGCGAACGGGUGAGUAAUGCAUCGGAACGUGCCCAGUAGUGGGGAUAGCCCGGCGAAAGCCGGAUUAAUACCGCAUACGACCUAAGGGUGAAAGCGGGGGAUCGCAAGACCUCGCGCUAUUGGAGCGGCCGAUGUCAGAUUAGGUAGUUGGUGGGGUAAAGGCCUACCAAGCCUACGAUCUGUAGCUGGUCUGAUAGGGCGACCAGCCACACUGGGACUGAGACACGGCCCAGACUCCUACGGGAGGCAGCAGUGGGGAAUUUUGGACAAUGGGCGCAAGCCUGAUCCAGCCAUGCCGCGUGCGGGAAGAAGGCCUUCGGGUUGUAAACCGCUUUUGUCAGGGAAGAAACGCCCCGGGCUAAUACUCUGGGGUAAUGACGGUACCUGAAGAAUAAGCACCGGCUAACUACGUGCCAGCAGCCGCGGUAAUACGUAGGGUGCAAGCGUUAAUCGGAAUUACUGGGCGUAAAGCGUGCGCAGGCGGUUGUGCAAGACAGAUGUGAAAUCUCCGGGCUUAAUCUGGGAACUGCAUUUGUGACUGCACGGCUAGAGUGCGGCAGAGGGGGAUGGAAUUCCGCGUGUASCASUGAAAUGCGUAGAUAUGCGGAGGAACACCGAUGGCGAAGGCAAUCCCCUGGGCCUGCACUGACGCUCAUGCACGAAAGCGUGGGGAGCAAACAGGAUUAGAUACUCUGMUAGUCCACGCCCUAAACGAUGUCAACUGGUUGUUGGAAGGGUUCYCUUUUCAGUAACGAAAKCUAAACGCGUGAAGUUGACYCGYYCUGGGGAGUACGGYCGYCAAGGGUUUGAAACYU
RNAcentral lists this ribosomal RNA (855 nucleotides) under uncultured beta proteobacterium. RNAcentral's name for it is "bacterial SSU rRNA". It matches the Rfam family "Bacterial small subunit ribosomal RNA", at positions 57 to 902 of the family's 1533-position model. The record is from RNAcentral. Lineage: Bacteria; Pseudomonadati; Pseudomonadota; Betaproteobacteria.